Molecule: ribosomal RNA, 445 nt
Filed under: uncultured bacterium
Lineage: Bacteria
Description: partial 16S ribosomal RNA
Rfam family: Bacterial small subunit ribosomal RNA
Source: RNAcentral
GUGAGGAAUAUUGGUCAAUGGACGAGAGUCUGAACCAGCCAAGUCGCGUGAAGGAAGACGGUUCUAUGAAUUGUAAACUUCUUUUGUGCAGGAAUAAAGUGGGUUACGUGUAACCUUUUGUAUGUACUGUACGAAUAAGGAUCGGCUAACUCCGUGCCAGCAGCCGCGGUAAUACGGAGGAUCCGAGCGUUAUCCGGAUUUAUUGGGUUUAAAGUGUGCGUAGGUGGAUUGAUAAGUCAGCGGUGAAAGUUUGCAGCUUAACUGUAAAAUUGCCGUUGAAACAGUCGGUCUUGAGUGCAAAUGAGGUAGGCGGAAUGUGUUGUGUAGCGGUGAAAUGCUUAGAUAUAACACAGAACUCCGAUUGCGAAGGCAGCUUACUGGGAUGCAACUGACACUGAUGCACGAAAGCGUGGGUAUCAAACAGGAUUAGAAACCCUUGUAGUCC